Molecule: unclassified non-coding RNA, 376 nt
Filed under: uncultured fungus
Lineage: Eukaryota; Fungi
Description: sequence contains ITS1
Source: RNAcentral
GAAAUGCGAUAAGUAGCGUAAAUUGCAGAACGCAUAUUGCGCAUAGGAGUCCUGCCUUGCUGCACAUCUGAUUGAGGAUCGUGAUCAAAAACAGCAGGUCUAUGACUGUAAUAGAAAUAGCUAGUGAAUCACGAGUUCGGCUUACCACCUCUGGCUGAACGUGUUUUGUCAUAAUGUUAGAGAGAACAGUCGCUCGCACGUGAGAUUGCCUACCAUACGGAUGAUCUAUAGCUGAAGCAAUAGGUCUCGAUCACUGGAUAUCAUGCUUAUAUACUCUGUGGCGUCUGAGAUACAGCUAGUGGGUUCCAUACGUGCCUGGUAUCGAGAGUAUUCGCUCUCCCGACCUCAACUCAGGUGUAUUACCCGCUGAAUUUAA